Molecule: ribosomal RNA, 1016 nt
Filed under: uncultured bacterium
Lineage: Bacteria
Description: bacterial SSU rRNA
Rfam family: Bacterial small subunit ribosomal RNA
Source: RNAcentral
AGGAAUAUUGGUCAAUGGGCGAGAGCCUGAACCAGCCAAGUAGCGUGAAGGAUGACUGCCCUAUGGGUUGUAAACUUCUUUUAUAAAGGAAUAAAGUCGGGUAUGGAUACCCGUUUGCAUGUACUUUAUGAAUAAGGAUCGGCUAACUCCGUGCCAGCAGCCGCGGUAAUACGGAGGAUCCGAGCGUUAUCCGGAUUUAUUGGGUUUAAAGGGAGCGUAGAUGGAUGUUUAAGUCAGUUGUGAAAGUUUGCGGCUCAACCGUAAAAUUGCAGUUGAUACUGGCAGUCUUGAGUGCAGUAGAGGUGGGCGGAAUUCGUGGUGUAGCGGUGAAAUGCUUAGAUAUCACGAAGAACCCCGAUUGCGAAGGCAGCCUGCUAAACCGCCACUGACGUUGAGGCUCGAAAGUGUGGGUAUCAAACAGGAUUAGAUACCCUGGUAGUCCACACGGUAAACGAUGGAUACUCGCUGUUGGCGAUAGACUGUCAGCGGCUUAGCGAAAGCGUUAAGUAUCCCACCUGGGGAGUACGCCGGCAACGGUGAAACUCAAAGGAAUUGACGGGGGCCCGCACAAGCGGAGGAACAUGUGGUUUAAUUCGAUGAUACGCGAGGAACCUUACCCGGGCUUGAAUUGCAGACGAAUUGCUUGGAAACAGGCAAGCCGCAAGGCGUCUGUGAAGGUGCUGCAUGGUUGUCGUCAGCUCGUGCCGUGAGGUGUCGGCUUAAGUGCCAUAACGAGCGCAACCCUCGUGUCCAGUUACUAGCAGGUUAUGCUGAGGACUCUGGACAGACUGCCAUCGUAAGAUGUGAGGAAGGUGGGGAUGACGUCAAAUCAGCACGGCCCUUACGUCCGGGGCUACACACGUGUUACAAUGGGGGGUACAGCAGGCAGCUACCGGGCGACCGGAUGCCAAUCCCGAAAGCCUCUCUCAGUUCGGACUGGAGUCUGCAACCCGACUCCACGAAGCUGGAUUCGCUAGUAAUCGUGCAUCAGCCACGGCGCGAUGAAUACGUUCCCG